CAAUAGCGUAUAUUAAAGUUGUUGCAGUUAAAAAGCUCGUAGUUGGAUUUCUGAUCGAGACAUCAGGUCGGGUCCGAGAGGAUCAUGUACUUCGAUUUUGUUUUGAUCAUCCUUGGGGAGAGCAUUUCUGGCAUUCAGUUGUCGGGAUUGGGAUCCUCAUCGUUUACUGUGAAAAAAUUAGAGUGUUCAAAGCAGGCCUCGGCCUCUGAAUACAUUAGCAUGGAAUAAUAAGAUAGGACUUUGGUGGUCUAUUUUGUUGGUUUGCACGCCAAAGUAAUGAUUAAUAGGGAUAGUUGGGGGUAUUCGUAUUCAAUUGUCAGAGGUGAAAUUCUUGGAUUUAUGGAAGACGAACUACUGCGAAAGCAUUUACCAAGGAUGUUUUCAUUAA
This 388-nucleotide ribosomal RNA is filed under the name uncultured eukaryote. RNAcentral's name for it is "partial 18S ribosomal RNA". It matches the Rfam family "Eukaryotic small subunit ribosomal RNA", at positions 592 to 976 of the family's 1831-position model. The record is from RNAcentral.